RNAcentral lists this unclassified non-coding RNA (413 nucleotides) under Arabidopsis thaliana (thale cress). The record is from RNAcentral. Lineage: Eukaryota; Viridiplantae; Streptophyta; Magnoliopsida; Brassicales; Brassicaceae.
AAUUAAUCUGUAAGCAAUAUAUACAUAAAAAGGGUCUUAUAUUUAUUUAUCAGAGUCAUAAAGACUUCGAAACAGAGGGUUUUGUUAUACUACAACAGGUGUGAUCUUGAUAUACUUUGGUCUGAUGUCUCUAUUGAAGAUUGCUUUCUGUCUUUCUUUUGGGGUGCUGCUGAAUCUAGAUGGUUAACCUCGCACUCUCUAUAAUGGCUGGAGAUGUGUUUAGGAAAGCUGAAUGAAUUUCUUUUGCUUGUUCGUAAAGAAAUAGGGUCUAAGUGUUUCUUGUGUUAAUAAGUUCUUCUUUAUUUGGUAUGGAUUUUGUUUUUCUGGUGUUUUAUUGUUAUAUGUUACAUGUAAAUGGAUCACAAAUCUUCUCAUGCAUCUAACGUAAAUUGACAUCCCUUGGGCUCAUUGAC